Molecule: unclassified non-coding RNA, 182 nt
Filed under: uncultured fungus
Lineage: Eukaryota; Fungi
Description: sequence contains ITS1, 5.8S rRNA gene
Source: RNAcentral
UUAACUAUUGUAUAGUACUCAGACGACACUGACAUCCAGAGUUUGCGGGCCUUUGGCGGGCGCGCGCCAGCCGGGGCCGGCGGCCCGCCAAAGCAACGACGGUAACGAUAACAGUGGGUGGGAGAUCUACCCGGUAGGGCGAGAACUCUGUAAUGAUCCCUCCGCAGGUUCACCUACGGAGA